AUGGGGGCGGCGAAGAGAAGCGGGGGUGAGAAGGGGCUCCUCUGGAGGCUGCCGGAGGUCACCUCAAGGGAGCUCGGCAAGAUCGGCCCCGCCUUCGGGCUCGGCAUCGGCUGCGGCGCCGGCGCCGGAGUCGGCUUCUUCGGCGGUGCAGGAUUAGGUUAUGGAUUUCCUGGACUCACUUUAGGCUUCGGAGUUGGAGCUGGCUGCGGUAUAGGAUUUGGUUUUGGUUAUGGCUUGGGCAAAGGAAUUGCUCAUGAUGAAAAGAAAAGACAUUCAAACGUUGGUAAAAUGUUCCAGGAAACUCCAAAUCUGCCUAAGGACACCAUUGCCGGUUUAUUUGACGAGUUGGUUGUAAACACCAAAAAGCUUGCCACCGCAACUUCAAAACAGAUUGAAAAAUGGCACUGA
This 408-nucleotide ribosomal RNA is filed under the name Triticum aestivum (bread wheat). Its description in RNAcentral is "partial small subunit ribosomal RNA". Lineage: Eukaryota; Viridiplantae; Streptophyta; Magnoliopsida; Poales; Poaceae. The record is from RNAcentral.